Molecule: ribosomal RNA, 447 nt
Filed under: uncultured bacterium
Lineage: Bacteria
Description: bacterial SSU rRNA
Rfam family: Bacterial small subunit ribosomal RNA
Source: RNAcentral
UGGGGAAUCUUGGACAAUGGGCGAAAGCCUGACCCAGCAACGCCGCGUGAAGGAUGAAGUAUUUCGGUAUGUAAACUUCGUAAGAAUAGGAAGAAUAAAUGACGGUACUAUUUGUAAGGUCCGGCUAACUACGUGCCAGCAGCCGCGGUAAUACGUAGGGACCAAGCGUUGUUCGGAUUUACUGGGCGUAAAGGGCGCGUAGGCGGUUUGUCAAGUCAGUUGUGAAAUCUCCGAGCUUAACUCGGAACGGUCAACUGAUACUGUCAAACUAGAGUACAGAAGGGGCAAUCGGAAUUCUUGGUGUAGCGGUGAAAUGCGUAGAUAUCAAGAGGAACACCUGAGGCGAAGGCGGGUUGCUGGGCUGAUACUGACGCUGAAGCGCGAAAGCUAGGGUAGCAAACGGGAUUAGAUACCCCCGUAGUCCCUGAGCGGGCUGGCAAGGCGCAU